RNAcentral lists this small nuclear RNA (128 nucleotides) under Fukomys damarensis (Damara mole-rat). RNAcentral describes it as "U2 spliceosomal RNA". It matches the Rfam family "U2 spliceosomal RNA". Rfam says of the family: U2 is a small nuclear RNA (snRNA) component of the spliceosome (involved in pre-mRNA splicing). Complementary binding between U2 snRNA (in an area lying towards the 5' end but 3' to hairpin I) and the branchpoint sequence (BPS) of the intron results the bulging out of an unpaired adenosine, on the BPS, which initiates a nucleophilic attack at the intronic 5' splice site, thus starting the first of two transesterification reactions that mediate splicing. Lineage: Eukaryota; Metazoa; Chordata; Mammalia; Rodentia; Bathyergidae. The record is from Rfam by way of RNAcentral.
AUCACUUCUCGGCCUUUUGGCUAAGAUCAAGUGAAGAAUUCUCUUGGUAUUUUGAUUGAAAUUGCAUGACAUGUGCAUAUCAGUUUUGGAAGUAUUUUGACACUAUUUGUUCUGCCUAGGAACAGGGG